Molecule: ribosomal RNA, 1254 nt
Filed under: Staphylococcus aureus
Lineage: Bacteria; Bacillati; Bacillota; Bacilli; Caryophanales; Staphylococcaceae
Description: bacterial SSU rRNA
Rfam family: Bacterial small subunit ribosomal RNA
Source: RNAcentral
UUUAUGGAGAGUUUGAUCCUGGCUCAGGAUGAACGCUGGCGGCGUGCCUAAUACAUGCAAGUCGAGCGAACGGACGAGAAGCUUGCUUCUCUGAUGUUAGCGGCGGACGGGUGAGUAACACGUGGAUAACCUACCUAUAAGACUGGGAUAACUUCGGGAAACCGGAGCUAAUACCGGAUAAUAUUUUGAACCGCAUGGUUCAAAAGUGAAAGACGGUCUUGCUGUCACUUAUAGAUGGAUCCGCGCUGCAUUAGCUAGUUGGUAAGGUAACGGCUUACCAAGGCAACGAUGCAUAGCCGACCUGAGAGGGUGAUCGGCCACACUGGAACUGAGACACGGUCCAGACUCCUACGGGAGGCAGCAGUAGGGAAUCUUCCGCAAUGGGCGAAAGCCUGACGGAGCAACGCCGCGUGAGUGAUGAAGGUCUUCGGAUCGUAAAACUCUGUUAUUAGGGAAGAACAUAUGUGUAAGUAACUGUGCACAUCUUGACGGUACCUAAUCAGAAAGCCACGGCUAACUACGUGCCAGCAGCCGCGGUAAUACGUAGGUGGCAAGCGUUAUCCGGAAUUAUUGGGCGUAAAGCGCGCGUAGGCGGUUUUUUAAGUCUGAUGUGAAAGCCCACGGCUCAACCGUGGAGGGUCAUUGGAAACUGGAAAACUUGAGUGCAGAAGAGGAAAGUGGAAUUCCAUGUGUAGCGGUGAAAUGCGCAGAGAUAUGGAGGAACACCAGUGGCGAAGGCGACUUUCUGGUCUGUAACUGACGCUGAUGUGCGAAAGCGUGGGGAUCAAACAGGAUUAGAUACCCUGGUAGUCCACGCCGUAAACGAUGAGUGCUAAGUGUUAGGGGGUUUCCGCCCCUUAGUGCUGCAGCUAACGCAUUAAGCACUCCGCCUGGGGAGUACGACCGCAAGGUUGAAACUCAAAGGAAUUGACGGGGACCCGCACAAGCGGUGGAGCAUGUGGUUUAAUUCGAAGCAACGCGAAGAACCUUACCAAAUCUUGACAUCCUUUGACAACUCUAGAGAUAGAGCUUUCCCCUUCGGGGGACAAAGUGACAGGUGGUGCAUGGUUGUCGUCAGCUCGUGUCGUGAGAUGUUGGGUUAAGUCCCGCAACGAGCGCAACCCUUAAGCUUAGUUGCCAUCAUUAAGUUGGGCACUCUAAGUUGACUGCCGGUGACAAACCGGAGGAAGGUGGGGAUGACGUCAAAUCAUCAUGCCCCUUAUGAUUUGGGCUACACACGUGCUACAAUGGACA